AAUUGAUUCGCUAGAAUUAAGACCGUUAAUGCCAUUUAAAUUGAUUGAAUUAGGCUGCAAGGGUUUCAGUUGUAAAGGUUAUUAGAGCUAAGAUUGAGGUUUUUGAUAAACAUGCAUUUCGGAAAAUUUUACAUUUUGCUACUAGUUCUGGUCUUCUCAUUAGACUUUGUAAGGAGUGACGAAUAUGACGAUGCAAUCAAUGAUGACGCUGAUGAAGGAGUCGAUGAUGACGCAGGGGUCGCAGACGAUGCUGGCGGAGAUUUAGCUGCUGCAAAUGAUGAUGCGGUGGCAGAAGACGACGCAGUAAAUGAUGAUGCGAUGACAAAUGGCGCAGUAAAUGCAGAUUUAAUUGAAGCUGAAGGCGUAAACUAUGAUGAAGGUGCAGUAUCGAGCGACGUUGGGGGGAAAACAUGUGUAGGAGGAACAUACAUCAAGGUCGACUGCAACAUUUGCUUUUGCUACAAUUCACAUAUACAAGGCUGUACCCUAGUUAACUGCGCUGGAUUGGUAGGUAUGGAGACAUUGUCAAGCAAUCCGGCCAAAAGACUAGCAUUCAAGAAGUUACGCGACCGUGCAACUGGUUGCAUUCCUGGAGAGACGAUAAAAAUCGGAAAUUGUGAGUGCAGUUGUACCAUACCCAGCGUCCUGACGUGCCCUAAAACCUGCCUUCGAACUUAACGUGCCCUAUUUUUGAUAUGACCGCAAAAUUAGGGUAGUUAUAGUUUAAGCCAUAAUAAACACAACUUCAUGGGACUAAAAUAUUCGACUCUUAUUUUUCCUUGAAAAAAAAAAAAAAUUCAGCAAGCAAUAUUUUGUUUUUACUCGAAAUAUCGGAUUUACUGACGCAACUCGUGUCGAUUUAAAACACUCCCUUCGGCCGUGUUUCAAUUUAUCGCCACUCGUUGCGAAUUUCCUACUUUUCGCAUAUAUCGUAAUGUACUAUUUUCAAUGUAUUUCUGGGCUACCCUCUACAAUUAUUGUGACGUAAAAUUACCACUACCCACGCUAAAUGCAACUCAAAACUUGGGUAAUUGGUAUAAGAGCGCAUUUUUUAAAUUUGAUUUGACUUUCAUGUUGUUUUUCUCUUUUUGUAGGAUUCCGUACCCAAAGGGUGAAAACGGGACCCUAUUACUAAGACUCCACUGUCCGUCUGUCUGUCACCAGGGUGUAUCUCAUGAACCGUGAUAGCUAGACAGUUGAAAUUUAAUUUUAUACAAAUGGUGUAUUUCUGUUGCCGCUAUAACAACAAAUACUAAAAAGCACGGAACCCUCGGUGGGCGAGUCCGACUCGCACUUGUCCGGUUACUAGGCACAGCGCCUACAGCAGGCAGGCUCUUAUUACUAGGUACAGCGAAUUGCAAAAUUGCAUGGACAUUGGACACAUUUUAGAUGAAAUUCAUUCAUUCACUUUUGCUGCUAAGUAUAUACAUACAAGCGAGAUAAGUAGGGUCAUUGCGCUAGUUUCCGUCCAUGGUCUAGUUUUCGUCCACAUGACAGAUUCGCAAAUAAUAUAUUUAUAUUUUUAAUUUUCUAUAUCUAUGUUUUGACGUUAAGGAUUGCAAUACGUACAAAUUUGUGCACUAAUGUAGGUUUAUAUUCCAAUUUCGUCAAGUGGACGAAAACUAGAGCUGGACGAAAACUAACACACCUACCCUAAGUAUAUGUAUUGGAAAUCAUACCAAGUGAAUGAAGUUUUAAAUCAUCAUUCGCCACCCUUACCAAUGAAAAUAGUCCUUCAUUAUAGGAAGACUUUUCAAAUUACGAUGAUCGGAACUUGACGUGCGAAUCUAAAGGCAAAACUGAUUUUAAUUAAGAAAUUUAAUUGAUUCGAUUGAAUUAAGAUUGCUAUGGCGUUUAAAAUUGAGGGAAUAAUGUUGUAAGUGUUUCAUUUGUAAAGUUAAUCGGGUUUUGAUUGGGGUUUCUGGUAAACAUGCAUUUUGGAAAGUUAAAUAUUUUGCUUCUAGUUCUGGUCAUCUCAUUAGACUUUGUACGGAGUGAAGAAGACUAUGCCCCUGCAAUCCCUGAUGACGCUGAUGAAGGGGUCGAUGAUGACGCAGGGGUCGCAGAUGACACUGGCGGAGAUGUAGCCGCUGCAAAUAAUGAUGCGGUGGCAGAUGAUGACGCAGGGGUCGCAGAUGACGCUGGCGGAGAUGUAGCCGCGGCAAAUAAUGAUGCGGUGGCAGAUGAUGACGCAAGGGUUGCAGAUGACGCUGGCGGAGAUGUAGCCGCGGCAAAUAAUGAUGCGGUGGCAGAUGAUGACGCAGUAAAUAACGCCAUGACAAAUGAUCCCGUAAAUGGGGAUAUAAUUGAAGCUGAAAAUGUAAAUCCUGUAGAUCCUUUUGAAGACAUGAAAGAUCGAAAUCCAGCGCACACAUGUGUUCCUGGAACACAUUUCAAGAUCGACUGCAACUAUUGCUUUUGCUACAAACCAAAUAUACAAAGCUGUACCUUUAUAAGAUGCGUACAUGGAGACGUGAAACUGUCAAGCAAUCCGGCCAAAAGACUAGCAUUCAAGAAGUUACGAGAACAUGCAACUGGUUGCAUUCCUGGAGAGAAAGUUAAACACCAACUCACGAAUUGUGAAUGCACUUGCACGAUACCCAGCGUCCUGACGUGCCCCGAAAACUGCCUGCGAUAGAAGUUGAGGAUCAUUUCGAGGUCAAACUGCGAAUCAAUAUUUACUACACAUGACUAUUUAUGGACCUCAUGAAUUGAAGAAUAAAUUAUCCGAACCAUCAUCUA
Molecule: RNA transcript, 2742 nt
Organism: Cydia splendana
Lineage: Eukaryota; Metazoa; Arthropoda; Insecta; Lepidoptera; Tortricidae
Exons: 7
Source: RefSeq, a predicted model, not a curated record